Molecule: long non-coding RNA, 319 nt
Filed under: Erythranthe guttata (spotted monkey flower)
Lineage: Eukaryota; Viridiplantae; Streptophyta; Magnoliopsida; Lamiales; Phrymaceae
Description: long non-coding RNA (EGUT_LNC002987)
Source: RNAcentral
UCCAACAAACUAGCUACACAAGAAAAAAAUUGUUUGUCCAAUUCAUUCUUGUCAAUAGUACGUACUCUUCCACCAUUAUCAGUUAUCAUCACCACCCGGGGCGGCGGCGGCGGCGGAAGAGGCAGCCGGGCCGGAGGCGGCAGGGUGGAAGGUGGCACCUUUCUUACAUGCCUUAUUACAAGGUCCAAAACAAAGAGCUUUAAGUUUAGUGCAAUCGGCCAAGCACUCCUUCAUACAUAUCAGAUACUCUAUCGCAGAAACAUCUUCAUGAAUAUUACCACGUGCUUCGCAUGCACCUGCGAAGCAGACGAUUAAAACC